This is a non-coding RNA of Caenorhabditis elegans, 21 nucleotides long. NCBI's taxonomy places the organism in Eukaryota, Metazoa, Nematoda, Chromadorea, Rhabditida, Rhabditidae. The record is from Ensembl.
UGCAUUUAAUAGACCAGCAGC